This is an RNA transcript of Vespula vulgaris, 2098 nucleotides long. It is a transcript of the gene named phenoloxidase-activating factor 2-like, with no coding region annotated. The record is from RefSeq and is a predicted model, not a curated record. Lineage: Eukaryota; Metazoa; Arthropoda; Insecta; Hymenoptera; Vespidae. The transcript has 7 exons.
CUCGCUUUAAUUUCCAAUGAAAUAUGAUUAACGUAACAACGUGUAUUCACAGAUCCCUCAUUAGUAAUAAUUUGUUCAGGAAAUUCUGCAAUAGAUGAUGAUCUAUCACUAUUAUUAUUAUGUAUAAGUAUAGCAGGCGACAAUGAUGAAUAUAAUUGUAACAGGAAGUAAUUUAUUUAUAAGAUUGUAAUGUCACACUUUAUAAAUAAUAUUUAUCCAUUGUUAUGAGGAAAAAACUCUCGUUAGGAACUUUUGACAUGCUUGGAUAAUUCAUUUAAUAUGUUUCUUUCAAAAUUAUAACAAAAGAGAAUAUGAAUAUAGGGCGCGUAAUGCGUAUAAUACGUUAUAUAUAUAAAUCCGAAUAGGAGCAUAAAAGUUAGUUUUUCUAUCGUCCGUCGUAUUGACUAGUUCCUUUUAUAGACGCAGUUUUUUAUUUUCUAUCUGCAAAAUGUAUAACUUUUUUUAUAUAUUAAUGAUUAUGUGCUUUAUACAAAAAUGUGUUAAAGCACAGACUAAUACAAUUGUUUUUGAUGGUACUACGACUACUAACACUAUGCCACCAACUAGUACUACAUCUACGGGAUGUAGAUGUGUAGCUGCAGGCACUUGUAAUGUUGGCGGUAAUAAUGGAAUUGAUAUAAGAAUUGUUAACACGGGUAUGACUUGUUCAGGAGGAUUGAUAUAUUGUUGUACAUCAGGAAAUAUAAUUGAUGCUAGUUGUGGAGUAAGAAAAAUAGCUCUUACUAAUCAACCAGAAGGAGUUGCUAGUUAUGGAGAAUAUCCUUGGCAAGCAGCACUUUUAACAUCAAGUAAUUCAUAUAUUGGAUCAGGGGCUCUUAUUAAUGCCAAUCAUGUUCUUACUGUUGCUCAUAAAGUAACUCCUUAUUUGACUGGUGGUCUUAAAGUAAGACUUGGUGAAUGGAAUGGACAAAGUUCUUCAGAAACUUAUCCUUAUAAAGAGUACAAUGCACAAAAAAUAUUUGUACAUCCUUCUUAUAAUUCACUAAAUCUUCAGAAUGACGUAGCAGUUAUUAGAUUAAGCUCAUCUGUACCUAUUGCAAGUAGUCCAAAUAUUAAUACUAUAUGUCUUCCUACUUCAGUACCAGCUGCACAAACAAGAUGUUGGGUAUCAGGUUGGGGAAAGAACGCAUUUGGUAAUAGUGGUACUUAUCAGAGUACACUCAAAGAAGUUGAUGUUCCUAUAGUAAAUCAAAGUAAUUGUGAAACUGCUCUUCGUACUACAAAAGUAGGACAAUCCUUCACGCUUGACAAAACUAGUUUUAUAUGUGCAGGAGGAGAAUCAGGGAAAGAUGCGUGCACGGGAGAUGGAGGUGCACCUUUGGUAUGUGAGUCAGGUAGUCAAUGGCAAAUUAUUGGAAUGGUAACAUGGGGUAUUGGUUGCGCAACUGGUGGAAUUCCAGGUGUAUACGUCAAUGUGAUUAAUUAUAAUUCCUGGAUAAAUGAGAAAUUAACUCAGUCAUAAAUUACAAUUCAUAAAUCUGGAUGUAUAAUUCAUGAAGUUAGUUGAUUAAACAAUAUUAAUAAACUUUAAUACAUUUCAUUGUUGAUUUUAGAAUUAAAUUAUCGACUUGAAAGAUUAUCGACAUCACGUCAUAUGACUAAAAAAACAACAAAGUUCCUUUAAUUACUAUUAGAUGGCGUAUAACUUGAUGUCCACAAUGUGCUGCCAUCUUUCUAUCUCGAUGAUACUAAAUGGUUAAAAAAAAGUGAAUUAAAACGAUCAUAUGUUUCCUGUCAAUUUUUAUAAACGACCAUAUGUUUUCUGUCAAUUACGUAUGAACUAUCAUGCGUUUUCUGUCAAUCGUUUUUAAAUGAUUAUAUGUCUUCUGUCAAUUAUUUAUAUCACUAUGGAAAUAAAAGUAACGCAAUAUUUAAAACAAAAAUCGUAUAGAAACUAAAUGGAAUAAAGUGUGAAAUAAAAAGAAAAAAAAAAAAAAAAAAAGGCAAAAGAAGAAAGAAAUUUGCAUUAAGAAUUAUCCAGGAAAUAUUAAAUUACGAAUGAUAAUAUCGAGAAUAAAAUAAAAUAAAAACUAUCCAACUAACAUUUUAUAUUCGUUGAAAAAGAAAUGAAUUCUCG